This 497-nucleotide ribosomal RNA is filed under the name uncultured bacterium. RNAcentral describes it as "partial 16S ribosomal RNA". It matches the Rfam family "Bacterial small subunit ribosomal RNA", at positions 28 to 507 of the family's 1533-position model. The record is from RNAcentral.
GAUGAACGCUGGCGGCGUGCCUAAUACAUGCAAGUCGAGCGAACGGACGAGAAGCUUGCUUCUCUGAUGUUAGCGGCGGACGGGUGAGUAACACGUGGAUAACCUCCCUAUAAGACUGGGAUAACUUCGGGAAACCGUAGCUAAUACCGGAUAAUAUUUUGAACCGCAUGGUUCAAAAGUGAAAGACGGUCUUGCUGUCACUUAUAGAUGGAUCCGCGCUGCAUUAGCUAGUUGGUAAGGUAACGGCUUACCAAGGCGACGAUGCAUAGCCGACCGGAGAGGGUGAUCGGCCACACUGGAACGUAGACACGGACCAUGCGCCUACGGGAGGCAGCAGUAUGGAAUCGUCCGCAAUGGGCGGAAGCCUUACGGAGCAACGCCGCGUGAGUGAUGGAGGUCUUCGGAUCGUAAAACUCUGUUAUGAGUGAAAAACAGAUGUGUAAUGAGCUGAGCACAGCGUGACGGUACCUAAUCAGAAAGCCACGGCUAACUACGUG